Molecule: long non-coding RNA, 703 nt
Organism: Prunus persica (peach)
Lineage: Eukaryota; Viridiplantae; Streptophyta; Magnoliopsida; Rosales; Rosaceae
Exons: 3
Source: RefSeq, a predicted model, not a curated record
UUAAGUUCUACAACGUGCAAACCAUGUUGUCAACUUAUUUCAUUUUUUUAAAGGAAAUAUACGCAAAAAUUAUGCGGGAGAACUCCCUCUCUCUCAAAAUAUUAAAACAUUCGAAAGUUUUUUAAAACCCCUCUUUUUUCUGAAUAAUAUUUCACAGCCCCUCUUUCUUUUGCAAAUCACUCUCACACUGCUAAACCUAGGGAAAAAUCCAAUAUCCCAACCUCUUUUGCUCCAUCCCAGCCAUCUCUCUCUCUCUCUCUCUCUCUCUCUCUCUCUCUCUCUCUCUCUCUCUCACUCAUGGAUCCUCUCUUUGCUCAUCAUCCACUGCCUCUGUCAUUGCCAACUUCACAGCCUCUCAAUCUCUUAUCGCCGUCAUCAAAUCCCUCAAUGCUUUGCUCUCUCAUCGCGAACCGCUACUUCUUUUGUCUUAGAUCUACAAUUCUUAAGGCCAAUCCUAAUAUUUGUUGUUCUUUGCAGGUAUUGGCCUUCAUCACCGAGCCCACCAGCAUCUCUCCACCACUAACUUUCUCAGCCUCAUUUAGGAAAAAAUUGAGUGGCCUCCAGGUUUUGAUACUGGUUUUGUGCUGAUUACAUGUGUUGAUUUUGGUAAGCUUUCAUCUUUCAAAAGCUGUCCCUUUAAUAGGGGAAGAAGAAAAUAGAAGGAAAGGGCGCAUUAAGGGUCCUCCCGUUGGACAGAUAUUGA